This 17-nucleotide ribosomal RNA is filed under the name Debaryomyces hansenii. Its description in RNAcentral is "partial 28S ribosomal RNA". Lineage: Eukaryota; Fungi; Ascomycota; Pichiomycetes; Serinales; Debaryomycetaceae. The record is from RNAcentral.
UUGACCUCCAAUCAGGG